Long non-coding RNA from Malania oleifera, 451 nucleotides. RefSeq lists it as uncharacterized. The transcript is spliced from 4 exons. Lineage: Eukaryota; Viridiplantae; Streptophyta; Magnoliopsida; Santalales; Ximeniaceae. The record is from RefSeq and is a predicted model, not a curated record.
CUGAACAAAUUUUCAUUUCCAUUAGUUUGUCCCCGAAAGGCCCGGCCCCGUUACCGAUUCUCACCGUCUCCACUCGGUCUUUUACAAUUUUGCAGCUGCUCGCGGGUCGGCAUCUCGGCAGCUCCCGUCGUCGUCGUAGGCGUCGGUCAUAGCUCAAUCCGUCAGCUUCACUUCUGGCAUGAGAAAUAUGGUAAUGAGCAGUUUUUGGCUGCACUGAGGAAAUGGGUUUUCUGUGAAGGAGAUCAUCUUGAGUUGAAGGGUUUUUAAUGGAGAUGCCAUCAGAUGAAAAUUCACAGCAUGCAACCGUCUCAAAUGAUAUUAGUUGUCAGAAUGAUAAUCUGGAUGCUGACAUCUCAAAUCAUGGAGGCACGGAAUCCAGGCAUGAAAUUGCUGAGGAAGAAGUUAGAGGAAUUCUGGAAGUCGUUGCAUCAACUGGGAAGUUUUGGUAUGU